CUGGCUACGACCACAACACUGGAAGUAGGUCCUAUAAACCAGCUCCAUUCUACAGCUAAGAAUACAAUGAAUUAGGGAAGUUACAGCACUCAGGCAAGGUCACCCAGCCAGACCCACUGUAGUAAACCAUACUUCCUCUCAUUAAAUCUCAUUUACUAACAUGUUUUCGUAAAAAGUAACAGCCUGGGGUCCAGGUUGGGAGAAUAAGGGGGUAUGAAUUUCAAAAGGACACAAGGAAACUUUUGGGGAUAAUAUAUAUGUUCAUUGUCUUGAUUGUGGUGAUCUUUUCGUGGGUAUAUACAUAUGUCAAAACUCAUUAAAUUAUGCAUUUUAAAUAUGUGAAGCCUAUAUCAUGUUAAUAAAACUAUUUUUAAAAGUUUAAGGCUGGUGCUGUGGUACAUGCCUGUAAUCCCAACACUUCAGGAGGCCUAGGCUAGAAGACUGCUUGAGGCCAGUAGUUUGAGACCAGCAGGGCAACAUAGUGAGAUCCUGUCUCUAUUUAAAAAUAAUAAUAAAUAAUAAUUAAAAAAUAAUAAUAGACCAGGCACAGUGGCUCACGCCUGUAAUCCCAGCACUUUGGGAGGCCAAGGUGGGUGGAUCACCUGAGGUCAGGAGUUUGAGACCAGCCUGACCAACAUGGAGAAACCCUGUCUCUACUAAAAAUACAAAAUUAGCCAAGUGUGGUAGUGCAUGCCUGUAAUCCCAGCUACUCGGGAGGCUGAGGCAGGAGAACCGCUUGAACCCAGGAGGCGAAGGUUGCAGUGAGCCAAGAUUGCACCACUGCACUCCAGCCUGGGCAACAAGAGCAAAACUCCGUCUUAGAAAAAAAAAAGGAAGAAAGAAAGAAAAAGCAUAUAGAAAAAGGGGUGGGGAGAGGAUGGACUCUUGUUUACUUGAGGAAACUAAUCACUCACGUGGCAUUUUCAUGGCUAGAUCAAGACUUUCUUGGCUGGUCUUCCUUUUUGAAAGCUGCAAAAUGGAAAAUCCCAAGACUCAUAAUUAACCAGUACGCUAGUUAAUGUUUUACUUUUCUCGGGAAAAGGGAAAAAUCCUAACGUUCAUUCAAUAGCUACUCUUUGCAAGGUGCUUUAGGUAUACUGUGUCAUCUAAAUUUGUGAAGCAAAUAUUACUGCCAUUUUACAGAUGACCAGACCAAGGCAGACUGGGGUCACUAAGAAAUUUGCCAAAGUCAUGCAAGAGGUAAGUACCCAAUCAGGAGUGAAAUCUAGGUCUUCCUAACUCAAAAGACCUCUCUUUCACUAAGCCAUGCUCCUUCGAUGGCAUAAAUAUUAACUUACAUUAAAAUUAAACAAUGAAACUCAUAUCUUCUUAACAUACUUACAAUUUUAAGAGUAUGUGUUUGUGUGUAUUAAUGAGACAAAAAAGAAAGAUGUGACUCAAAUCCAUUUAAACCAUGUUUUUAAAAUAUCACUUUUAAAGAAGACACAGUAAUACUUUUCUUCCAACUGAAGGUACAUUUUCACCAUCUUAGAAAACUUUACUACCUAUACUGUAAUCUGCAACUCAGAUUUUUUAAAUUAAAAAAUAACAUUUUUCUUUUUCACAUUUGUUAUAUGUGAACACUGAAUAAAGAUACAUGUGUUACCAAAAUAACUCCAAUUCAAUUAAUUAUUGAUGCCAAUGUUUGAUAUUUUUGCCAUGUGUAUUAAGAGUAUAAGAUCUAUCAAAAUGGCUUAGUAUUUUUAAACUCCUUGAUUAUAAGAGAAAAUGCUCUUAAUAUGUGGAAAAUGCAGAAAAAUAUAAAUAGUUGCCAUCAUUAUAUCAACAUGCAGAUAUUAUAACCACUGUUAACAUUAUGAUCUGUACUUGUAGUUCUAUUUUAUGAAUGGUUGCAAUCAGAGUAUUCAUAUUUUCUAGUUUUAUAAAAAAAUUGUAUAUGGUGACAUUUUCAGUCAUCCCUACGACUCUACGAGACACAAGGUUUAAAAAUGAAACAAAUAGGGCCAGGCACAGUGGCUCAUGCCUGUAAUCCCAGCACUUUGGGAAGCCGGGGCGGGUGGAUCACCUGAGGUCAGCAGUUCAAGACCAGCCUGGCCAAACAUGGUGAAACCCCAUCUCUACUAAAAAUACAAAAAAAAUUAGCCAGGCGUGGUG
This 2115-nucleotide long non-coding RNA is filed under the name Homo sapiens (human). Its description in RNAcentral is "HSALNT0126720". The record is from RNAcentral. Lineage: Eukaryota; Metazoa; Chordata; Mammalia; Primates; Hominidae.